Molecule: long non-coding RNA, 2456 nt
Organism: Pipra filicauda (Wire-tailed manakin)
Lineage: Eukaryota; Metazoa; Chordata; Aves; Passeriformes; Pipridae
Exons: 2
Source: RefSeq, a predicted model, not a curated record
GAAAAUGGCGGCGGCGGGAGCGGCCCCAAGCUCGGGGUUUGCUUUAUGGACUUAUUUUAGUAACUCCGUCCUUAUCCAGCCCUUCAAAGCACCUUCUCACGGAGAACAGAACCCUGUCAGUUCUGGGAUUCUGUGAUCCUGUGAUGUUAGCAGUUCACGCACCAGAAAAUCUCCAGGGACCUUCUGGCUGAGCGUUGUAUAGAAACACAGCCAUAAAUUACUGCACUUACAUUUACAUCACUACGCUAUUACAUGAAGGCUCAGAUCAGGAGCAGCACCUUCUGUUUUCCUCUAUUUAUUUUUUUUUUUCCUGUGUGCUCAUUCCCGUUUUAAAGUCCCCCCCUAUUUACCUGCAGCACAGUCUAGACAGCUAAUGAAAUAAUAAGAGCCCAGCGGGUUUUUACAAGAACGUAGACAAAAAGAGCAUCAGAAAUAAAUAUAUGAGUAAGAAUUGGAAGGUCGAUGGCUGGGUACUGAGUGUGCCACAGGCAAGGGUGUCCCGGGAUUAUGAGGUAAUUCCCUGUCGAGCAUCCUGACCAAAACAAUCAGGCAUUGCUGGAUUCCUGUCACCCUCCACACAAGGCAUGAAAAAGCAAUGGAGGAAUAAUCCUCUGGAAAACCCAGUUCUCGCAUUCCCCCUCCUCACAGCGGAGAGAAACAGGGAAUAAUCGUCCCUGGUGCCGCUGCCUGUUCCUUUCCCUGCUGGUUGCUCAUCAGCCCCCUGGUUGCCCAUCGGUUUUUCCAGCCCGUGGAGGGUGUUGUCGCGUGGUCCUUCCUCCCGUCUUACUCCCGGCUGUUGUUUCUGGAGCUGCCGGUACUACUGCUUGGCACGGCUCCCCCGGUGACUCCGAGCUGGUGGCAGCAGGGCUGAGCCCUGCCCAGCGCUUUCCCAGGAAGGCCUGGCUUCCUCUCAGAGGAAAACCAGCUCAGCCCCCGGAGCGUGUCUGCCCGUCCAUCGGGGAGAAAAUAAAAAGUGAUUCAGCUUAUUUUUGUCUCCCCGCUGACGUCCCCGGUGAAGCGGAGCUGGUGUGGUUUGAUUUGAAACACGGUCCUUGCUUACAGCAGGGAUUUUAUUUGAAUGUUGAUUGUUUGUUUAUCAUUCCCUUCUAUGUGUAUGGCUGGGUAAAAAGCCCUUUUGUUUUGAAGCGUCCUGUGAACUGCAGCGGGAAGCUCAGGAACUCCUGGUGGACUGAAUGAAACAUAGUCAAUGAUAAUAAAAUUAUAGAAGGUUGGAGCCAGGAGGAAACUAAGUAGAUGGUGUGGUUGGACUUCCCACACUAAACCUGCACUUGGAUGUUUGCUGGCGUGUUCUUAAACGUUUUUAACACCUCCAGGGAGCUUCCAUAACAUUGUGAGAUGGAUCUUCUGAAUGUUCCACCUUUGUGACACUGAGAAGCUCUUGACUUACUUGGCAAAAUUGAGCAUGGAAGAAAUUUAAAUUGCUCUGAAGUGCCCUCCUCUAACUGAAAUAGGUUAGAACUAAACAUGUGUUGUUAGAACAGGAAGAUAUUUGGAAUUUGGAGUGAGUUAGGGGUUUUUUUUCUGAGAUGUUUUCUGGUUUAUUUGGGAACUUUAAAUUGAUGACUUUAAUGGUGGAACGGGUGUAUUGGUUUUAUACUACAUUUAUACUACAUUCCUGGAGGAUAACUGAGGAUCAGGAAUCGAGUACAUGGUGAAAACAGUGAUGGAAUCCUGGGUGACAACAUUACUCCUUACACAUUUCAGAAGUGGAUGCAGAGGGAGAAUUCAGGCCCAAAAUAAAGUCUUCCUUACCUGAGCUGAACAUUUUUCCCUCUCAGAUGAAAGUUAUUGUAUCAAAUUCAGUUGAGACGCCAUGGAUAAGCCAUGAGUGGCUGGGAGAGGAAAUCCCAGUUUAUCUGACUCACCAUUUUUGUGCAAAUAUUAACUUUGGCUGGUACACAUUUCUCCUGAUAUCUCUUUUCCAGAUCUGAGUCUCAGAGUACAUUGUCUUGGCUAUAUUGAACUGUAGCCUUUGGUUACUUGAAUAACUUUCAUUUUUAACAGUUUUAUCUAUUUAUUGUAUCUGAAAGGUAAAGAAAAUGCAGUUUUCCCCAUUACUCUGCUUCUGGUGAUGCAGUAUUAAAUUCUGCACCAGUGGAAAACUUAGAUUUAAUGGUGGCAAAAAGCACAAUGCAGAGGAUUUAGUUUUCUUUGCUAAAAGUGGUGGAAAACCCUCGAAGAUGGCAAUCCCAACUUCCCAGGAUCUACCUGCACUUUUAUCCCCCACACUCUCUGGUUUAUUUUGUCCUUGGAAGAAGAAACAUUGGUGGACACUGGAGUUGACCUUUAAUUUUGAAAAAUGUUCAUAUUCUCUGUCAAAACACUCUUCAUGGUUGCUCCCACCAACCAGAUUGUUGUUUCUAUUCAAAAUUAUCAAAGGUGAUGAAGAGAGAGGAAGUUAAUUAAAUUAAUUCAAUUAAAUUGAUUCAGAUGUC